GUGCCAUUCGGCAGCACAUAUACUAAAAUUGGAGUGAUACAGAGAAGAUUGUCAUGGCCCCUGCACAAGAUGACAUGCAAAUUCAUUAAGCAUUCCAUGUUUUU
Molecule: small nuclear RNA, 104 nt
Organism: Dipodomys ordii (Ord's kangaroo rat)
Lineage: Eukaryota; Metazoa; Chordata; Mammalia; Rodentia; Heteromyidae
Source: Ensembl